This 468-nucleotide ribosomal RNA is filed under the name uncultured bacterium. Its description in RNAcentral is "partial 16S ribosomal RNA". It matches the Rfam family "Bacterial small subunit ribosomal RNA", at positions 38 to 507 of the family's 1533-position model. The record is from RNAcentral.
GGGGGGGGGGGGGGGGGGGGGGGGGGGGGGGGGGGCGGGGGGGGGGGGCGGGCGUGGGGGGGGGGCUCGGGGGGCGAGCGGGUGGGUAGCGCGGGAGUAACCUGCCCUUGGCUGUGGGAUAACUUCAGGGAACUGGGGCUAAUACCGGGUAGGAGCUCCUGCUGCAUGGUGGGGGUUGGAAAGUUUCGGCGGUUGGGGAUGGACUCGCGGCUUAUCAGCUUGUUGGUGGGGUAGUGGCUUACCAAGGCUUUGACGGGUAGCCGGCCUGAGAGGGUGACCGGCCACAUUGGGACUGAGAUACGGCCCAGACUCCUACGGGAGGCAGCAGUGGGGAAUAUUGCACAAUGGGCGGAAGCCUGAUGCAGCAACGCCGCGUGCGGGAUGACGGCCUUCGGGUUGUAAACCGCUUUCGCCUGUGACGAAGCGUGAGUGACGGUAAUGGGUAAAGAAGCACCGGCUAACUACGUG